RNAcentral lists this ribosomal RNA (584 nucleotides) under uncultured bacterium. RNAcentral describes it as "bacterial SSU rRNA". It matches the Rfam family "Bacterial small subunit ribosomal RNA", at positions 338 to 916 of the family's 1533-position model. The record is from RNAcentral.
CCUACGGGAGGCAGCAGUAAGGAAUAUUGGUCAAUGGAGGCAACUCUGAACCAGCCAUGCCGCGUGCAGGAUGACGGCCCUAUGGGUUGUAAACUGCUUUUAUACAAGAGAAAACCCUGGUACGUGUACCAGGUUGAUAGUAUUGUAAGAAUAAGCAUCGGCUAACUUCGUGCCAGCAGCCGCGGUAAGACGAAGGAUGCAAGCGUUAUCCGGAUUCAUUGGGUUUAAAGGGUGCGUAGGCGGACUGAUAAGUCAGUGGUGAAAUCUCUUUGCUUAACAAAGAAACUGCCAUUGAUACUGUCGGUCUAGAGUAUAGAUGACGUUGGCGGAAUAUGACAUGUAGUGGUGAAAUACUUAGAUAUGUCAUAGAACACCGAUUGCGAAGGCAGCUAACGAAACUAUAACUGACGCUGAGGCACGAAAGUGCGGGGAUCAAACAGGAUUAGAUACCCUGGUAGUCCGCACCGUAAACGAUGAUUACUCGUUGUUGGCGAUAUGACAGUCAGCGACCAAGCGAAAGCGAUAAGUAAUCCACCUGGGGAGUACGCCGGCGAACGGUGAAACGUCGAAAGGAAGUUAGACGG